GAUUGGCCUGCUAGAGUUGUAAUGCGUUUGUAGCCUACAUGUGUGACUUAUAUAUAACAUUUGCUAACAUGAGUACACAUUGCAUACAAUGGUGUAAGUUUCCUUUUUUACCUUUAUAAACUCAACUUGCGUCUGUAAAUAUCUGUAUUCGUUGUACUAUUAUUAUUUCCGUAGCCUAGGCUACACUAAUGGUCACGUUCCAAGUCCUAUGCCUGUAAAGUGAUUUGAACGCCAAUCGGCUGCACUCCGGUACUGUACCUGCACCACGAUUUGGGAAAGAACCAUAAACCAACCAUUGAAUUAAAUUGUAAUGACGGUGCUAGUCACAUAUGUACUAACAUCAUAGAUUGUAGAUGGACUGGCUUCUUGAAAGACGUUGUAUUUGAUUGCCCGCUUGAUAAUGACAAGUUUCAAUGUUCAGUGGAGACGGAUGAAGUAAAGAAAAACAAGGAAGAACAACAAACAGUACCAGUGGCACCGAUAUGCAAAGACAAUAGAAGCUGUGGAUUCCCUACAACAUUUGUAGGUGAAAGUGUAAGAUGCACCAUACGUAUGCGUAAGUAAAGGGGGCUUCCGACUGGCUCCUGAGUGGCUCAGCGGUCUAAGGCACUGCAUCUCAGUGCUAGAGGUGUCACUACAAACACCCUGGUUUGAAUCCAGGCUGUAUCACAACCGGCCAUGAUUGGGAGUCACAUAGGGUGGCGCACAAUUGGCCCAGCGUCGUCUGGGUUUGGCCGGUGUAGGCCGUCAUUUUAAAUAAAAAUGUGUUCUUAACUGACUUGCCUAGUUAAAUAAAGGUUAAAUAAAAAUAAAAUAAAUAAAGUAUAUAGCUUGUCAUUUGGACUCAUAUAAAUGUUUUAUAAUGCAUACUAUAUGCCUUGUUUGACCUAUUAUACCAUAUUAAUUUGAAUGACAACAAGGAUAUCCAUAUCCUAAACUAGUAGUUGGUAUAAUUGAACAAAACCAAUUUGAGCAAUGAAUUACAUCAUUACAUCAAUGUGCAUGUUUCAGUGCUGAUUUUUAUUUAGAAAUAGUGUUUUUGACAUAUUUUCAACAGAAAUACAGCCACCAAUAACAUCAAGAGGACCAGAAAAGAUGGAAGAUGGAAAAGAUUUGGGAAAGAACCAUGAACCAACCAUUGAAUUAAAUUGUAAUGACGGUGCAAUUCACAUAUGUACUAACAUCAUAGAUUGUAGAUGGACUGGCUUCUUGAAAGACGUUGUAUUUGAUUGCCCGCUUGAUAAUGACAAGUUUCAAUGUUCAGUGGAGACGGAUGAAGUAAAGAAAAACAAGGAAGAACAACAAACAGUACCAGUGGCACCGAUAUGCAAAGACAAUAGAAGCUGUGGAUUCCCUACAACAUUUGUAGGUGAAAGUGUAAGAUGCACCAUACGUAUGCAAACACAACUACCAACAACAUCAAGAAAACCAGACAAUCUGAAGAAUAAAACAGAGCCAAAACACAAUAUACCCUGGUGGAUUUGGUUAAUAACUUUCCUUUGGCCUUUUGCCUUUGACAUUAGCGUUGGCAUUGAUGUUGGGAUUUGGAUUAAUCAAUGUCAGGAGAAAAAGGAUUAAUUUGAGACACGUGAUGAGGCGCAUAGAAGUGGAUGGAAUGAUAUAAAAAACAAAUGAGGAGGUAUUAUUGCAGGGGUUAACCUAUGGGUCCACUAGUAUGAGCCAUCAUCACCAUUUAGCCAGCAGGCUAUUUUAAUACUAAUCUCAUUGGGGUAAAUUAAUCAAAUGUUUUAAAAGAUAUAUAAAAUCUGCAUGGAUUAGUGUUUGCCAUCAUGUGUGACGCAGUGAUAAAACACCUGAAAGAAUGCCUACAUUAACAUACAGUACCAGUCAAAAGUUUGGAGACACCUACUCAUUCCAGGGUUUUUCUUAAUCUUUUACUAUCUUCUACAUUGUAGAGUAAUAGUAAAGAAGACAUCAAAACUUUGAAAUAACACAUAUUGAAUCAUGUAGUAAGCAAAAAAAGUGUUAAACAAAUCCAAAUAUAUUUUAGAUUUGAAAUUCUUCAAAGUAGCCACCCUUUGCCUUGAUGACAGCUUGGCACACUCUUGGCAUUCUCUCAACCAGCUUAAUGAGGAAUGCUUGAAGAAGUUCCCACAUAUGCUGAGCAGUUGUUGGCUGCUUUUCCUCCACUCUGCGGUCCCAAACAAUCUCAAUUGGGUUGAGUUCGGGUGAUUGUGGAGGACAGGUCAUCUGAUGCAGCACUCCAUCACUCUCCUUGGUCAAAUAGACCUUACACAGCUUGGAGGUGUGUUUUGGGUCAUUGUCCUGUUGAAAACAAAUGAUAGUCCCACUAACCUUACAGUGAAAUGCUUACUUACAGGCCUCUAACCAACAAUGCAGUUUAAAAAAUAUGAAUAAGAAUAAGAAAUAAAAGUAACAAGUAGUUAAAGAGCAGCAGAAAAAUAACAAUAGUGAGACUAUAUACAGGGGGUACCGGUACAGAGUCAAUGUGCGGGGGCACUGGUUAGUUGAGGUAAUAUGUACAUGUAGGUUAUUAAAGUUAUUAAAGUGACUAUGCAUAGAUAAUAACAUAGUAGCAACGGCAUAAUAGAGGGGAGGGGGGGGGCAAUGCAAAUAGUCUGGGUAGCCAUUUUAUUAGAUGUUCAGGAGUGUAAUGGUUUGGGGAUAGAAGCUGUUUAGAAGCCUCUUGGACCUAGACUUGGCACUCCGGUACCGCUUGCUGUGCGGUAGCAGGGGGGGCUGGAGUCUUUUUGGGGGGCUGGAGUCUUUAACAAUUUUAGGGCCUUCCUCUGACACUGCCUGGUAUAGAAGUCCUGGAUGGCAGGAAGCUUGGCCCCAGUGAUGUACUGGGCCAUACGCACUACCCUCUGUAAUGCCUUGCGGUCGGAGGCCGAGCAGUUGCCAUACCAGGCAAUGGUGCAACCAGUCAGGAUGCUGUUGAUGGUGCAGCUGUAAAACCUUUUGAGAAUCUGAGAACCCAUGCCAAAUCUUUUCAGUCUCCUGAGGGGGAAUAGGUUUUGUUGUGCCCUCUUCACGACUGUCUUGGUGUGCUUGGACCAUGUUAGUUUGUUGGUGAUGUGGACGCCAAGGAACUUGAAGCUCUCAACCUGCAGCUCCGUCAAUGAGAAUGGGGUCCGGUCCUCCUUUUCCUGUAGUCCACAAUCAUCUCCUUUGACUUGAUCACAUUGAGGGGGAGGUUAUUGUCCUGGCUCCACAUGAAGCUGGUUGAGCUGUCAUCAAGGCAAAGGGUGGCUACUUUGAAGAAUGUCAAAUAUAAAAUAUAUUUUGAUUUGUUUGACACUUUUGGUUACUACAUGAUUCCAUAUGUGUUAGUUACUUCAUAGUUUUGAUGUCUUCACUAUUAUCUACAAUGUAGAAAAUAGUCAAAAUUAAGAAAAACCCUGGAAUGAGUAGGUGUGUCCAAACCUUUGACUGGUACUGUACCUUAACAGAAAGUUUGAAAAUGGUUUACAGUAGUUACUACAAAUGUUAUUAUAAGGAGUAAUUAAUAUGACCGCCACAAAAUGACAUACGAUCAAAGGCUUCUCCCUCUUCUAUUGUUAGUUUAAUAAUCUGAUAAUAUGUGAAGCAUGACUCAGGUGGAACGUGGGUGGUUUCAUAACAUCCACUCACUCAAUCUACUCCCCAUGACUCAACCUUACUGUGAACUGCUGGGGCUCAAACUGGAUAUAGCUGUUUUAAUGUUUGCGACACUACUAACUACACUAACUGCAUUAAUCAUCAACUGAUAUGAGUAUUUUGACUUCAUCCUAACCCCAAUUACAAUACUUUUCAAGAUACCAAACAAAUAACAUAAUAUUUGGUUAAGAUAUGAUAAGAUGAUCAUUUUAGAAGAGAGCAAAGGACUUUUUUUGUCCAUGUCACUGGAAUGAUGGAAUGAACUUUAUUUGUCCAUACAGUGUAGUUACUGUUUUGCCUAACCCUCUCCUACCUAGGACUUAUUGUUUACUACUUUUAAAUACUAAUUGUGUUUGUGCACUUCCUCAAGAAAAUAUUUAUGUUCAAUUUUAAUUAUUGAAAUGUUUUUUUUUCUGUAAUUUAGGAUUUUAUAAUUGUGGGGAUUUCUUCUACUGUUGUUUUUGAUUUACAGUACCUACGGUGCAUUUUGUGCUUGCUUCAUUAUCCUUAUUGGGAUGCACUCAUUGCUUGAUCAUCAGCUAAAUUAUUCAAUUGUUCAUUGUAAUUCUAAUUGUCACGCCCUGGUCUUAGUAUUUUGUGUUUAUAUAUUAUUUGGUCAGGCCAGGGUGUGACAUGGGGUUAUUUUGUGUUGUGUUGUGGUAUUGGGGGUUUUAGUAGGUAUUGGGAUUGUGGCUGAGUAGGGGUGUCUAGCAUAGUCUAUGGCUGCCUGAGGUUCUCAAUCAGAGUCAGGUGAUUCUCGUUGUCUCUGAUUGGGAACCAUAUUUAGGUAGCCUGGGUUUCACUGUGUGUUUGUGGGUGAUUGUUCCUUUCUUAGUGUUUUGUAUUUCACCAGAUAGGCUGUUGUCAUUAUUUCAUUUUGUUAGAUUUGUAGUUUCUGUAUGUAUAGGUUUUCCUUCAUUAAAAUAUAUCAUGAAUCAUCA
Oncorhynchus tshawytscha (Chinook salmon) is the source of this 4562-nucleotide long non-coding RNA. Lineage: Eukaryota; Metazoa; Chordata; Actinopteri; Salmoniformes; Salmonidae. The record is from Ensembl.